AUUGAACGCUGGCGGCAGGCCUAACACAUGCACGUCGAACGAGUGGCGGACGGGUGUGUAAUGUCUGGGAAACUGCCCGAUGGAGGGGGAUAACUACUGGAAACGGUAGCUAAUACCGCAUACCAUCGGCUGUGCCCAGAGGGGAUUGGCUAGUAGGUGGGGUAACGGCUCACCAGGGCGACGAUCCGUAGCUGGUUUGAGAUGACGACAAACCACACUGGGACUGAGACAGGGCCCAGAGUCCUACGGGAGGCAGCAGUGGGGAAUUUUGAACAAUGGGGGAAACCCUGAGCCAGCCAUCCCGCGUGUGGGUGGAAGGCCUACGGGUUGAAAAGCACUUUAGGCAGGGAAGCGGUACCUGCAGAAUAAGCACCGGCUAACUACGUGCCAGCAGCCGCGGUAAUAC
This 406-nucleotide ribosomal RNA is filed under the name uncultured bacterium. Its description in RNAcentral is "partial 16S ribosomal RNA". It matches the Rfam family "Bacterial small subunit ribosomal RNA", at positions 29 to 526 of the family's 1533-position model. The record is from RNAcentral.